RNAcentral lists this ribosomal RNA (447 nucleotides) under uncultured bacterium. RNAcentral describes it as "partial 16S ribosomal RNA". It matches the Rfam family "Bacterial small subunit ribosomal RNA", at positions 29 to 523 of the family's 1533-position model. The record is from RNAcentral.
AGCGAACGCUGGCGGCAGGCCUAAUACAUGCAAGUCGAACGGCUCUUCGGAGCAGUGGCGGACGGGUGAGUAACGCGUGGGAAUGUGCCCUUAGGUACGGAACAACACAGGGAAACUUGUGCUAAUACCGUAUGUGCCCUUCGGGGGAAAGAUUUAUCGCCUUUGGAGCAGCCCGCGUUGGAUUAGGUAGUUGGUGAGGUAAAUGCUCACCAAGCCGACGAUCCAUAGCUGGUCUGAGAGGAUGACCAGCCACACUGGGACUGAGACACGGCCCAGACUCCUACGGGAGGCAGCAGUAGGGAAUCUUGCGCAAUGGGCGAAAGCCUGACGCAGCCAUGCCGCGUGUAUGAUGAAGGUCUUAGGAUUGUAAAAUACUUUCACCGGGGAAGAUAAUGACGGUACCCGGAGAAGAAGCCCCGGCUAACUUCGUGCCAGCCGCCGCCGUAA